Molecule: transfer RNA, 77 nt
Filed under: Vibrio phage KVP40
Lineage: Duplodnaviria; Heunggongvirae; Uroviricota; Caudoviricetes; Pantevenvirales; Straboviridae
Also listed under: 7 other names
Description: tRNA-Leu
Rfam family: tRNA
About the family: Transfer RNA (tRNA) molecules are approximately 80 nucleotides in length. Their secondary structure includes four short double-helical elements and three loops (D, anti-codon, and T loops).
Source: RNAcentral
GCGCACGUGGUCCAAUUGGCAGAGGCAUGAGGCUUAAAAUCUCAGGGAUGGCGGUUCGAAUCCGCCCGUGCGUACCA